CCCUCGCUGUUUUAUAGAUGAAGCGUGGAGAAACAAGUCUGCGAGUGCCUGACCACUGCCCAGCUGGGAGGAGAAAGGAUGACAACCAGUCUGGGUAACCCUGCUGCUCCCAGCCACGGGACCCCCCUGGUCACAGCCCCACCAGUGAUGAGACCCUCAGGGCACAAGCAGGAGCUCCCCGUGUUGGAACAGUUUCACCAGGCUGAGCCCAUUAUGGCUGAAUAAAGUCGUUGCAGCAUGUUUUCUGUCCCAGUUCUGGAAGAUGGGAUCCCAUGUGACAGGAAGGUACAGGCUGUGGGAGUGGAAGCUGUGGAAAGGCUUCUGUGAAGCUGAAAACAUCUUCUGUGAGAUUUAUCAAUUCUUGGUAAAUUUGCUGCAGGAAGAAAAAAGGAAGAACAAAAAGAGAAGCACAGUUGCGCUUUGAGAAUGCUUUUAUGUGGCCUGAAGUUCUUAUUCUCCCCGCAAAGCUGCCUUUUCUUGCUCGAGCAUCAAAAUUUUGUUGUCUAUCACGCACGGGAUCGUAGCUGGUGUUUAAGGAUGGCUCUUAAUGUUGAGUUUGGAGUUGCCAUAGUGCAAAAAAGAAAUAUAAAUAUAGUGGGAGCCAGUGGGUUUUCAACCUAUCCCACCCAAACUUAUGCCACGUGUGCUAGCCAGGUGGUGAGGGCUGGGCUGCCGCUGGUGCCUUCGCUGAGGUCUGACAGAGCAGAGACCCCGGGCAGGGUUAUCUUUCAUACCUGCCGGCAUUGCAGUGGCUGCAGGAUGGAAGGGGGCUCUGGUGAUUUUUAUACAAUUUGAGGAAAUGGCCUUCCAGUGCAGGCAGGGCACUGCCGUGUUUCCGCUGCUGCUGCUGGAUCCCAGCCCUUCUGCUUGCAGUAUCGCUGCUUGAAAUCCCCAUCUCCCUGCCUGAGGAAGAUAAACUUGACAUGGCGAGCUAGGAAGCCCGUGAAAAUGUGCAAAGCUAGCAAGUUUUUUUCCAGUUGCACUGCACGGCUUCCUGCACGCUAAUCUCUUUCUCUGAAUAUCUCCAGCAGCCAGCCAAAAUAAUCCUUUCAUGGAAAUGCUCUCACGGGGAACAGGAAAGGGCUGCGAACACAGACCCAUAAAUCUCGUGGGGGGCUCGCCCUGUCUCGCCUCCCUCGCUCCCUGCUCAGCUCCUGGCUGCAAGGGUGCUGCUGAAAGUGUGGAAUAAAACCUGGGGAGAUCCUAAAUGCAAAUACCAGAGGGCACGGGCUGCUUGGCUGC
Non-coding RNA from Anas platyrhynchos (mallard), 1242 nucleotides. The record is from RefSeq and is a predicted model, not a curated record. Lineage: Eukaryota; Metazoa; Chordata; Aves; Anseriformes; Anatidae.